UGGGUGGCUGGACAUGCCAUGGAGUUCUGGUCCAGUCUUUCAUGUCUUAAACAGGAUGAUAAGACAAGUUUAGGUUACAUUUUGAAGGAUGGAAACUGGACUUUCAAUUAAGUCAGUAGCAAGGGAAGCACAAAACCAGGGGAUACGGUGGUGCUGCUUUCCAGCAGAAAAGCAGUUCAAAGCCCGGACUGCGCCUUCUGGAGCGAAAUUCAAAUGUGGAAGCUUCGAAUAGUCAAGAGCUCUGCACCCCCCGGAAGGAAUACAGAUGAUGACUGAAGAAUUUCCAGAGAAUCUAGUGGAGGUGGGAAAGUGUCCUUCUCCAGGGAGGGUCCUGAAGAUGGGAGCAGAUUCCUGCUCUCCAGCAGCCCCUCCUCACCCAGGCCUCAGUUUCCAGGGAGAACAUGUUCAGCCUUCCUCCGUGAGAGGGGCUGGGAGGCAGCGAGGGUGAUGCCCCGAGGGUCCUAUUCUCCUGCCUCAGUUUCACGUAAUGCAAGUGUUUUCCACUAAAAGCGAAGAUCUAAACUGCCCGAGGGAGCAUCACCACUCACAGCUUUUAUAUAUUGGAUCACCUGGUGACAUUGAAUUUAAGGAGCAAAGGAGGGAAGAGAG
Molecule: long non-coding RNA, 609 nt
Filed under: Homo sapiens (human)
Lineage: Eukaryota; Metazoa; Chordata; Mammalia; Primates; Hominidae
Description: HSALNT0317421
Source: RNAcentral